This 197-nucleotide ribosomal RNA is filed under the name uncultured bacterium. RNAcentral describes it as "partial 16S ribosomal RNA". It matches the Rfam family "Bacterial small subunit ribosomal RNA", at positions 1305 to 1500 of the family's 1533-position model. The record is from RNAcentral.
CUGCAACUACGCCUGCAUGAAGUUGGAAUUGCUAGUAAUCGCGAAUCAGAAUGUCGCGGUGAAUACGUUCCCGGGCCUUGUACACACCGCCCGUCACACCAUGAGAGUCGAUAACACCCGAAGCCUGUGAGCUAACCGCAAGGAGGCAGCAGUCGAAGGUGGGGUUGAUGAUUGGGGUGAAGUCGUAACAAGGUACC